This 521-nucleotide ribosomal RNA is filed under the name uncultured bacterium. Its description in RNAcentral is "bacterial SSU rRNA". It matches the Rfam family "Bacterial small subunit ribosomal RNA", at positions 8 to 518 of the family's 1533-position model. The record is from RNAcentral.
AGAGUUUGAUUAUGGCUCAGGAUGAACGCUAGCUACAGGCUUAACACAUGCAAGUCGAGGGGCAGCAGAUCGAAAGCUUGCUUUGAUGCUGGCGACCGGCGCACGGGUGAGUAACGCGUAUCCAACCUUCCCUAUAGUAGAGGAUAGCCCGGCGAAAGUCGGAUUAAUACUCUAUGUUUUCCAAUGCAGACAUCUAAGUUGGAACAAAGGUUUACCGCUAUAGGAUGGGGAUGCGUCUGAUUAGAUAGUAGGCGGGGUAACGGCCCACCUAGUCGACGAUCAGUAGGGGUUCUGAGAGGAAGGUCCCCCACAUUGGAACUGAGACACGGUCUAAACUCCUACGGGAGGCAGCAGUGAGGAAUAUUGGUCAAUGGGCGAGAGCCUGAACCAGCCAAAGUAGCGUGCAGGAUGACGGCCCUAUGGGUCGUAAACUGCUUUUAUCGGGGGAUAAAGUGAGGGACGUGUCCCUUUUUGUAGGUACCCGAUGAAUAAGGACCGGCUAAUUCCGUGCCAGCCGCAGC